GGCGAGCAGCCUAUGCCAAAGUACAUCAAGUUUUCUCGAACAGUGAAUGUAUUGUUUCACAGUCGGUAAACUUUUUGCUAAGGUAAAUUGCAUGCUCUUUUCGACAAGACUCGUCAUGCUGACCCAAUACACCUCGUAGACCCCUCGAAGGUCGUCCAGUACAGAAUUUGAUGGUCGUCCCUCUACAGGGAUACGUCAGAAUCAGAGGCUCCUGCAACUUAUUCUUU
This 227-nucleotide long non-coding RNA is filed under the name Lathyrus oleraceus (garden pea). RNAcentral's name for it is "Pisum sativum (pea) long non-coding RNA (PSAT_LNC003990)". Lineage: Eukaryota; Viridiplantae; Streptophyta; Magnoliopsida; Fabales; Fabaceae. The record is from RNAcentral.